RNAcentral lists this long non-coding RNA (7807 nucleotides) under Ananas comosus (pineapple). RNAcentral describes it as "long non-coding RNA (ACOM_LNC024547)". Lineage: Eukaryota; Viridiplantae; Streptophyta; Magnoliopsida; Poales; Bromeliaceae. The record is from RNAcentral.
UUGGAACUCGCCCAAUUAAUCCAUUCGCGCACUUUAGUCAGUUUGCCUAAAGUUCGUCAUUUUCUAUCUAGGUUUCAAUACGUUACAUUCUUCACCCCUUAUAUUUAGUUUCAUCCGCGAAACUAGCUUACUUUAACUCAAAUUCAUACCUUAGUUCAGCUCGUCGAAGAGAUGAGGGUAAUGUUCCCUCAUUGCGCUCUCGAGCUCCCCAGUAGCUUCUCGUUCGUCGUGAUUACACCAACGAAUUUUAACAUACGGAAUCUCGCGAUUUCGUAGUUUUCUUACUUCUCGGUCGAUUAUGUAUGCCGGGAACUCCUCAUAGGUCAUGUCCUUUUGAAUUUCGGACGGUUCAAACGAGAGAACAUGCUCGGGGUCGUGCACAUACUUGUGGAGAUUCGAUACAUGGAACACGUCGUGUACUCCCGCAAGCCUCGGUGGUAAUGCUAUCCUGUAUGCCACCGCGCCGACCCGCUCCAACACCUCAAACGGUCCAAGGUAUCGGGGACUUAGCUUCCCACGAAUUCCAAACCGCUUAAUCCCUCGCAUCGGCGAAAUCUUUAAAAACACGUGGUCUCCAACGGCAAAUUCUAUAUCUUUCCUCCGUUUGUCGGCAUAGCUCUUUUGCCGAGAUUGCGCCGUAGCAAGUCGUUGGCGAGCAAGACGGACUUUCUCCUCCGCCUCCCGCACUACAUCGGGGCCAAGAGCCGCCCUUUCGCCCACAUCGCUCCAAUGAAUUGGAGAGCGACACUUCUUCCCAUAAAGGGCCUCGAAUGGCGCCAUCGCGAUACUUUCUUGAUAGCUGUUAUUGUACGCGAACUCCGCCAUCGGAAGAUGAUCAUGCCAAUUGCCCUUAUAAUCCAGUACACACGCUCGAAGCAUAUCCUCAAGUAUUUGUAUUGUCCUCUCCGAUUGACCGUCACUUUGAGGAUGAAAUGCCGUGCUAAAGUCGAGUCGCGUUCCCAAGGCCCCCUGUAGGCUCCUCCAAAAGUGAGAGGUGAACCUCGGGUCCCGAUCCGACACGAUAGACACGGGCACCCCAUGAAGUCUCACAAUCUCGUCAAUAUACACUUGAGCCAACUUGUCCCCCGACAAAGUAAUAUGAAUCGGUAGGAAAUGCGCUGACUUCGUCAAUCGGUCUACAAUCACCCAAAUUGCAUCGUGCCCACCUUGAGAUCGAGGCAACCCGGUCACGAAGUCCAUUGCAAUAUUUUCCCACUUCCAAACGGGUAUAGGUAAACUUUGCAACUUUCCCGCCGAAAACCGUCGCUCCGCUUUUACUUGUUGACAAGUAAGGCAUUGCGCCACAAACUCCCCAAUGUCUUUCUUCAUGCCCGGCCACCAAUAGUGCAACUUCAAAUCUUGAUACAUUUUGGUGCCGCCCGGGUGUAUACUAUAAGGGAAUUGGUGCGCCUCUUGCAUGAUUGCCCUGCGGAUGUCCUUAUUCUUAGGCACACACCAACGGUUUCUAAACCGGAGUGCGCCGUCGGUCCCAAUACCAAAAUCAUCGGCACUACCGCUCUCAACUUCCCCACGCAUCUUUUGGAGAUAUUCAUCUGAAGCUUGCAACUCUUUAAUCUUCUCCAAUAGCGUCGGUUGAACAACUAACGCCGCAAGUGUCGCCGGUACUCCCGGUGCUACCACCUCCAAUCAAAGCCGUUGCAUCUCCUUUUGUAGUAAUGGUUGGGGUGUAAUUACCGAAGCCAAAUUUUUCCCCGAUUUUCUGCUAAGUGCAUCGGCUACGACAUUCGCCUUCCCGGGGUGGUAUAGAAUAGUAACAUCAUAGUCUUUCAACAAUUCUAACCACCGCCGCUGUCGCAUAUUCAACUCCUUUUGGGUGAACAGGUACUUAAGGCUUUUGUGAUCCGUAUAGAUCUCACAAUGUUCCCCAUAUAGGUAAUGCCUCCAUAGCUUUAGCGCGAAAAUAACCGCCGCUAGCUCAAGAUCAUGAAUCGGGUAGUUCUUCUCGUAAGUCUUCAGUUGGCGUGAAGCAUAAGCUAUAACCCGCCCGUUUUGCAUCAAGACACACCCGAGUCCCACGUAGGAAGCAUCACUAUAUACCACAAAGGUCUCCCCCGGCGUCAGUAGAGCAAGCACCGGGGUCGUGGUCAACCUUUCCUUUAACUCCUCGAAGCUUCGCUCGCAUUCGGGGUUCCAAACAUUCUUCACCCCUUUGUGUGUAAGGCGCGUUAGUGGAGUAGUUAUUUUAGCAAACCCCUCCACGAACCGCCGGUAGUAGCCUGCUAGCCCUAGGAAACUGCGGACCUCUGAUACACUUGUCGGGCGAGGCCAAUCCUUAAUUGCCUCCACUUUCCCCGGAUCCACCGAGAUACCAUCGCCCGAAAUUACAUGACCAAGGAAAGUGACCUCCGAUAGCCAAAAGUCGCAUUUCUUCAACUUGGCAUAUAACUUUUCUUUUCGGAGUAUUUCGAACACGGUCCUCAAGUGCUCCUCGUGUUCUUUCUCGGUCCGAGAAUAUACCAAUACGUCGUCAAUGAAUACCACGACGCACCGGUCCAAUAGCGGACGGAAGACUCUAUUCAUUAAGUUCAUGAACGUCGCCGGGGCGUUAGUAAGCCCAAACGGCAUCACCGUGAACUCAUAAUGGCCAUACCGCGUACGGUGCGCCGUCUUGUGCAUAUCCUUGGGUUGUAUCUUCAACUGAUGAUACCCCGAUUGAAGAUCAAUCUUUGAAUAUACCUUUGACCCCUGCAGCUGAUCGAAUAAAUCAUCAAUCCUCGGCAGCGGGUACUUAUUCUUCACGGUGACCUUGUUCAACUCGCGGUAAUCCACGCAGAGUCGAAGUGUGCCGUUCUUCUUUUUAACGAAUAGCACCGGAGCUCCCCAAGGCGACACACUCGGCCUUACAAAGCCUUUGUCGAGCAAGUCUUGCAACUGUGCCUUAAGCUCUUUUAGCUCCGCCGGUGCCAUUCUAUACGGGGCCUUCGAGAUUGGUGCCGCCCCCGGGACCAAGUCAAUAACGAACUCGAUCUCCCGGUCCGGGGGCAAUCCCGGUAACUCUGCCGGAAAUACAUCCGGAAAUUCGCAUACCACCCGAAUGCCUCCCAAAUCCGGGUGUUCUCUUUGGGCUUCUACCAUUGUCGCCAAAUAGGCUACACAACCACCUUUUAUCAUUUUCCUCGCCCGUGCCGCCGACACGGUCGCUGCGAAAAGUGAGCUUUUAGCUGCCUGAUACACUAGCUCCUCUCGGUUAGGCUUACGAAACGUGAUCACCUUACUCUCACAAUCUAUCACGGCAUAAUACUUGGAGAGCCAGUUGGUCCCCAAGAUCACGUCGAAACCCCACAUCCGGUUCAACACCAAUAGAUCAAUCGGCAUGACCCAGUCACCUAUCUGCACUGGGCACGCUACACAUUCUUCGUGAAUAUGAAAAGUAUGCUUGACCGAAUUUACCGUCCAAUAGUCAUAAUGGUGCACGAUCUUAAUACCAUGAGUCCUAGCGAAUGAUGCAUUUAUGAAUGAAUGCGAUGCACCUGUGUCGAAUAAAGCUCUAGCUCUGGUGCCUCUGAUCGAGAUAAUACCUGUCACGAUGUCGUCGGGGACAGGAAUCGGCUCCUCCUGCACCUGAGUGGCAAAAACCCGCCCACUCGGUGCCCUCGAUGCCUCCGGCUGACGCGAAGAAGAUGAACGUCCAACCGACAUAGCCGGUGGUAACCCCGCCUGCUGUCUCGGGGUAUAAGGAACUGAUGCCGAGGUAGGCGCAAAUGAACCCCAGCUCGGGCACUCCCAUGACAUGUGCCCGGGCUGGCCGCACCUGAAGCACUUUCCCUCGCGCUGCGGGCAUACCGGCGGCCGAUGAUCGCCACCGCAAAUGACACAACGGAACGGCCUGCCACUCCUUGACUGCUGUCGGGGAUACCGAGGGGGCUUCUUUGCAUUUGACCGGCCCCCGGCACUGCCCGCCGCCCGCUUCUUCCCCUUGUCCCUUGACUCCGCCAUUGCCUCGCGCUCCUCUCGCACGUGGGCGCUACCGUGCUCCGCCCACAAGGCUCAGUCAAAGACCUCCGCAAAGGUCGUCAACUUGAGGAUUUGCACUCUCUCGUAAAUCCUCGGCUGGAAUCCUCGUAAGAACCAGUCAGCCCGGUCCCGGUCAUCACGAACAACCUCCGGAACGCAGUCGAUAAGGUGGGAAAACUCCUGCUCGUAGUCUGCCACGGAGCGGUCCCCCUGUCGCAACUUGCGGAAUUUCUCUUGCAACUUCCACUUCACCGUAUUGGGGAAGUAGUUGGCAAACACCGCCCUCCGAAACUCCUCCCACAUCAUAAGCGGAAGAUCGGGCGAUCGAUCCCGCCUAACACGCUUCCACCACACCUUCGCCGCCUUCUCGAGGCAAUGUGUGGCGAGGUACACCUUGUCCCUCUCCAAGGUGUUAAGAUCCUCAAAGAGUGUCUCCAUGGAGUCGAUCCAUGACUCCACGAUCGCCGGCUCCACCACUCCACCUUCGAAGGUGGGUGGGUUAAAUUCUGAAACUGAAUGGGAGCUGCCAACGUGCGCUCCCGCUCCGCCUCCUCCGCCGCACUAUCGGGAUUUGAGGUCCCCGAUCCUGCCGGCACCAUCGUGACUGACACGGCCGCCGCGGCCACAACCUUGGCAGCACUCGGCACCACUGCAGGAGGCGCGGGGUGCACGGCCUCCCCGGGCGCCGCCGCCGCCGCCUGUUGCCGCUCCAACGCCUCCUGGAGCCUCUAGAUCUGCUCCCCUUGGCGCUGAACGGACUCAGCCUGCUGCCGCACUACGCCAAUAAGCGCGGCCAUCUGCUCCCAAAGCUCUCCGUCGCCACUUGCUCCGGGUUGCACAGGAGCCGCAUUUGGCUCCUCGGCCAUAGACCUCGUCCGCGGUCGACCAUGAGGCAACUUAGGUCGUCCACGAGGCGGCAUCGCUUCCUGAAAUGAAGCAAUUCACAUUAGUUACUCAGACAAUAUACUCGAUUAUACCCAAUCCGGCGAAAGCAUACCAGCGCAUUUAUUUUUCUUCCAAAGCAUCAUGUCGUCGGCCGCCGAUCACAACACAAAGGAAAGAAAACAAAUAACAACUUUAAGUUUAGUCCCUAACCACAUUAGAGACAUAAUUACAUCAACCCAAUAAAUGCCUUCGCUAUAACUUGUUCAACGUCACUCACGUUUCCCUAGAUCCUUAAGGUCUUUCCAUUCCUAAGGGUCUCUAGGUCCAUCCUAUGCUUUCACCUUUGGCUCUUUUACGCUCUGAUACCAUAAUAUCUGUCACGCCCCGAGCCCGAUCCUUUUUGGCCUGUUCGAGAGCGUCAAACAGACGCCGAACGAACAGAGCUUCCCCUGUCCGCCCAAGGCUCAACACUAGUAUCAAUAGAGUAUAAAUUUGCAUAAGCGGAAGCAUACACAAUGGCUUGCACGAGGGCAAGCAAUAGCCAAGGCGAAAAAAUUAACCAUUUAGUAUACAAGUAAUAUGACUAAAUUUAAAUCACAUACAUGUAUCCAACUAUAAUCAAGUUCUGUCACAUUCUUGCAUCAUUUCUUUUUACAUCUCAUUUCUCCCAAAAUAUAACUUUUGACAUUUAAAGUAAAUAUUCUUUACAUCAUUCAUUAAAGCAAGUUCAUAAUACUAANUGGGAUCCCUACCAAGAUUUUCGAAUCUUUGGAAUAAUCUCUCGAAGGGUACACUUAGAUUCGAUAGAAAACGAAUCCUUACUCUAGUUAGAGCCUCUUUACGUUUUUAUUGUACAAUCCCGUAGGGUUUCUUCCCAAAACGGGUUCAACCCAAAACUAGAUAAAACUAGUACAUCUUUGGAUUAACUCCCAUAAAAUUUGCGCAACCUCGCGAGCCAAGCUGUUAGGCUGCUCACAUGCGUUUCAUUAAUUGUUUUUGCAGUAAAAGGUAUGUCUAUCGGUGUCGUGCGCCUGAUCCCGAAGUUUUUAAGGUUCUUUAAGUGGCAUCGUAGGAACACUGGUAGAUUCCACCCACCACGUAAGGUUCCUGUAGCUUUUAGAGAAAUACAGAUUUCGCAGUAUAAACUCGUAUAUAUAAAUAUAACUCGUACAACGUAUCAUCCCAAUUAACAUUUAAAAGAAACGUACUAUACUCAAGAUUACGAACUCUUUAUCAUCAUUUACUUACUCUUAACCAUUGGGAUAUAUACGUACUGUUCCCUGUUCUUGGAUCUUCCCAAUCAUUUGUUUACACUGUACAACUGUAUUUAAAUCGUUCACUGUAACUACUCAGAUCUCCUGAAUCUUUUGUUCACACCGUAGUAACUGUUUCUUGUUCUUGUUCAUCACUGUAAUACUGUAUUUGUGGAAUCUUAAUUCCCAGUAUACAUGUACCAAGAGGAACUUCAGUUCCUUACCUAACUUGAAUUUUAGGAAUUUCAAUUCCUAACUAGCAUGAGUGGAUUAUCAGGAACGAGCUCCCGCCAUCGAGGGGGAGCCCGCUACACGAGGCCUCAACAGUAGUGACCCAGCAUCGCCAAUAGAGGGGUCUCCCGCCAGGGCAGCCCAACAUCGUCAAUAGAGGAGCUGUUAUCCCUAAACCCAACCACUCAAACACUCCCGCUUUGGAUGCCCGAUCGGUACUCUAACCCAUUAUUUUUCAAUUAGGACGUAAGUUGUACUCGUAAGAUAGCUCGUAUCAAAAUAAAUAACAAGUCCGUAUAAUCGACGUAAACAAUCAACCAAUAAUAGAUAAGAAAGAAGAUAAUACGGACUAAUCUGGAUCACCCUAUCAGCCGCACCAACCAACGGCUUGGGUGACCCUUGAAACAACAUCAAGAUCUACUUUGAGCCCUAGUGAUCCACCAUGAGAGGGGUCUAAGAAAUCCAUGUUUUUCAUGGAGUCAUGGUCCUUAGAGGAUUUCCUCACUUGUAGAGAGAUCAAAAUCCAAACAUCUAAGGUCUAAACCCAAACCCUAAACUCAUUUUUGCAUAAGGACUCACCUUUACCCAAGCUCCACCAAAGCCUACUUGUUGGAGAGCUUUUAGGACCACCAAAGCCACCAAAAUCCACUUCUCCAAGCUCUUCUCCACCUUCUCCAAGCUCUAGGGCUUGCUUUCUAGAGAGAGAAAGAGAGGAAAAUGAGAGAGAGGGUGAAAUGGGUGUUGGCUGUGAGGGGAAGGGGUAUUAGGCUAUUAACAUGUUGUAACAUUUGCCAAAAAGUCCUCCCAAUCUUUAUAUUUUGCAGCAGACCUCGUUUUGCUGUCGGGCCCAAAGUGUACCGGUACACUUUUUCGUGUUACCGGUUACACGACUACGCAGAGGCAAACCCGAGAGCAAAUCUGUCAGUUUCGCCCAAAGUGUACCGGUACACUUUUUCGUGUCACCGGUUACACGACUAUGCAGAGGCAAACCCGAGAGCAAAUCUGUCAGUUUCGCCCAAAGUGUACCGGUACACUUUUUCGUGUCACCGGUUUCAGCAUGUGUAACCGGUGACAGGUCGCUUGCUGUACCGGUACACAUUGCUCCAGACCUGAUUUUUGGCUCCGUCUCGAUUCUAUUUUGCGCUGAUCGAUACCAAAACCCUUCUAACACUUCUAGAAUUCAUUUUUAACCCUCCCAACAGUGUUGGUAAGUUAAUUGGAACUCGCCCAAUUAAUCCAUUCGCGCACUUUAGUCAGUUUGCCUAAAGUUCGUCAUUUUCUAUCUAGGUUUCAAUACGUUACACCCAAUCUCGCCUCUUCCUUACGAGAUCGAUUACUUCACUAAACUCAUCCACCUUCGCCACGAUAGCGUUCUUGAUGGUGGAGAAAUCAAAUCCGAAUCCAGGCCCUAGGAUUCUACCUCUUCAGAACCUUCCGGCUAAACUCCAGCGACGACUACACGC